UAACGGGAAGAACCUUACCAAGGCUUGACAUACCCCGGAAACGGCCAGAGAUGGUCGCCCCCUUGUGGUCGGUGUACAGGUGGUGCAUGGUUGUCGUCAGCUCGUGUCGUGAGAUGUUGGGUUAAGUCCCGCAACGAGCGCAACCCUCGUUCUAUGUUGCCAGCGCGUUAUGGCGGGGACUCAUAGGAGACUGCCGGGGUCAACUCGGAGGAAGGUGGGGAUGACGUCAAAUCAUCAUGCCCCUUAUGUCUUGGGCUUCACGCAUGCUACAAUGGCCGGUACAAAGGGCUGCAAUACCGUAAGGUGGAGCGAAUCCCAAAAAGCCGGUCUCAGUUCGGAUUGAGGUCUGCAACUCGACCUCAUGAAGUCGGAGUCGCUAGUAAUCGCAGAUCAGCA
Molecule: ribosomal RNA, 396 nt
Filed under: uncultured bacterium
Lineage: Bacteria
Description: bacterial SSU rRNA
Rfam family: Bacterial small subunit ribosomal RNA
Source: RNAcentral